AACCUUGUAUUCUCUGACUAUUGAGCAACUUCGAUUCCACUGGCAGUCUAAGUUCAACCAACCUCAGAGGAGCCUUGGGCCACAGAGAAGACCUGACUCUACAGACAAUUCUCCAGUGUUUCCAACAUUGGCUCAACCCAAAACUCAACUUCAGCAGAAAUGAAGGCUUGUGUUUUAGAAAGACCAUGCUGGUUGUAAUACAGAAGAUGGAUUAGAGGAAGACUUUUGCCAUACUCUAGAACAGAGGUGCUAAGAAACUCAGUUUAGACAGUGACUCUGAAGAUGAAGAAGUGGAGUUCGUUCCAGAGUCAUUAAGAGGCAGAAUCUGCAGGACCUAGUAUUCAAAUGGCUACUUAAGACUCCCUCCCUAGAGAUCUCAUCAAAUAACCAGGAAAGACCAACCAACAGAGAAGAGACUGGAAUCAUCUGCCCAGAAAGACUUUUCAUCUAUUCUUCUAAGGACAGCUCCAAGAGAUUACCUGGGGGACUUUGUAUAAAAAAUAAGACAACCUGUGUUCCUGUGCAGCUUCAUCCCUCAUCUUUCCCUAAGUGUCAAGAAGCAAUAGUUAGUCCACAAGCACGAGUGAAAUUACUGAACAAAAUUAAGAUGGAUACAGCACUCUAAAACACCCAUUUGAAUGCAUGUGAAAUCGACGACUUUCUCAAGCUCCACGACCCUCAAACUAGAACAAGACCUCUCCUCCUCCCUGACUCGCCAGCUUCCGAACCCUUGAACUACAACGACAUUGCUCCUGCCUGGAUCUGCAGCUCCACGACCCUAAAACCAGAACAAGACCUCUCCUCCACGGGUUGCCAGCUACCAGACCCUCGAAUUACAACAACAUUGCUGCUGCCUGGGUCUGCAGUUCCACGACCCUCAAACUAGAACAAGACCUCUCCUCCCCGGGUCGCCAGCUUGCAGACCCUCAAACUACGACAACAUUGCUCCUCCCUGGGUCUGCAGUUCCACGACCCUCAAACUAGAACAAGACUUCUCCUGCCCGGGUUGCCAGCUACCUGACCUUCGAACUACAACAACAUUGCUCCUCCUUGGGUCUGCAGCUCCAUGAACCUCAAACUAGAACAAGACCUCUCCUCCCUGGGUCUCCAGCUUCCUGACCCUGGAACUACAACAACAUGGCUCCUCGCUGGGUCUGCAGCUCCUCAACUCUCACCCUAGAACAGCAGCACCAGCUCCUUCCUGGACCUCCCGAUCAAUGACCCUCAGACUUCAAAGGCAGCACCAGUUCCACCCCCAGGCUCCAGCUCCAGCACCCUCAGAUCUGAACAGCAGCAGCACCAGCUCCUGUGUGGCUCUUCUGUUUCAUGAUCCUUAAAUUAGAACAGCAGCACCAUCUUCUCCCUGGGUCUCCAGCUCUACAAAACUCAAGCUAGAAUAGCAGCACCGGCUCCUCUGGGAUCUUCAGCUCCACGACCCUGCAACAUCAGUGCAGCACCGGCUCCUCCCCUGGGCUCCAGCUCCAGGACCCUCAAACUUGAACAAAAACACCAGCUCCUCCCCAGGCCUCCAGCUCCUUGACCCUCAUAAACAAUCCCUUCUUAUGAAAUGUAGCAGUCAGGAAAACUGCAGAGGAAGUAAAUAAAUAAAUGUUUUCCUUUCAAAAAAAAAGUACUUAAUUUGUUUUUAAAAGGCAAGGUCUUGCUCCAUCACCCAGGCUGGAGUGCAGAAGGAGGAUGGUUUUAAAUGAGAGAGGGAAAACAGGAAGAAAAGUAACUUUUCCUUUUUAGUCUCUAUGUGCCAGGCAUAUGUGAAAGUCAAGAUAAUAAAUGUAUUCCAUAGUGGUUGUACCAGUU
RNAcentral lists this long non-coding RNA (1815 nucleotides) under Homo sapiens (human). RNAcentral describes it as "HSALNT0349529". Lineage: Eukaryota; Metazoa; Chordata; Mammalia; Primates; Hominidae. The record is from RNAcentral.